GCUCCGGUGGUGUAGCCCGGCCAAGCAUAUCGGCCUUUCACGCCGAUGACGUGGGUUCGAAUCCCGCCCGGAGCA
This 75-nucleotide transfer RNA is filed under the name Candidatus Poseidoniia archaeon. RNAcentral describes it as "tRNA-Glu". It matches the Rfam family "tRNA". From Rfam's summary of the family: Transfer RNA (tRNA) molecules are approximately 80 nucleotides in length. Their secondary structure includes four short double-helical elements and three loops (D, anti-codon, and T loops). Lineage: Archaea; Methanobacteriati; Thermoplasmatota; Candidatus Poseidoniia. The record is from RNAcentral.